AACGCCGAACGCGGAUGCUGCACGUCGAACGGGAACUUGUGAAUGGGAAUUUGUGCACUUUGGAGUUUGUGGGAAACCAAUAAAGACACUGUGUUCAAGGCAGUUAAAACGAGUUGGACUUUCAUUCGUUAGUUCGGUUAUUAAGCGUGUCAGUUCCGUUUUUAUGGUUCCCGGUUGGAGGCUCUCAGUGGCUUAAAGUAUUGGCUUAGCCCCUUUAACACAAGUCAAAAACUGCUUUGAAAAGUUCCACAACGGCUGCUAGGACUUUGUUGUCGCGUUUUGCUGGUGAGGACGGGAGGACAAGGGAGGCUUGGAGGAGACACCUGAGCGGAGCAUCACCUGUUUACCUGCGUUCCUGGACCCAGCUGCGGGAGAAGAGGAGAGACGCCGGUGAGGACGCGGAGGAGCUUCACGGAAUGAUCAGUCUUCUGAAAUAGAGAAGCUGUUUGGGUUUCACCUCGUUCUCCAUCAGAACUCUGCUUCGGUCCAAAGAGCCUCAGAUCUCCGUCAGCCUCAGUGAAAUUACAGCACAGGAGCAGCCACCUGAUUGGCUGUUGCCUUGGAUACCUGUAACCAU
Long non-coding RNA from Amphiprion ocellaris (clown anemonefish), 577 nucleotides. The record is from Ensembl. Lineage: Eukaryota; Metazoa; Chordata; Actinopteri; Pomacentridae.